UACAGACGUGUGAGAAUUGAGAGAUCCU
RNAcentral lists this non-coding RNA (28 nucleotides) under Mus musculus (house mouse). Lineage: Eukaryota; Metazoa; Chordata; Mammalia; Rodentia; Muridae. The record is from RNAcentral.